UCCCAAUUUAAGUAAUUUUAUCUAUCUUUUUCGCUAUUUGAUUGUGCCUCUGUUGGAAAAUUUCAUAUAAUUUUUCUGAUUGUAUCCCAGUUUAAGUAUUUAGAUUUUUCUGAUUGUAUCCCAGUUAACUUCUCUGUCACGGGUGGUCCUCUUCACAAAUCCAAGCUCAAUCCCAAACCGCGGCACAGCGCUCCUUUUCCUCUGCUGCUUCUUGUGCUUGUUUUCGGCAAAAUUAAGCUCCAAUUCAGACGACAGAUCUAGAGAGAUCGCCAUCGAUAUUGGAUGAAUAUUGUCUGACAUAUACUAUUUUGGUGGGACAGUGCAUUGUUGAGCCCUCCUCAUAUUACUCUUUUCAUCACAUUUUGUCUGCGGCUACAUAUACAUUACCGGAGGGCAUUCGUUUAAACUGAAAACACUAUAUACGCUAUACGAUUAAUAAUUCAUUGUGAAUAAAAAAGUGAUGAAAUUUUUGUUUGUUCCUAUUAUUCCCUGCUUAUACAAUAGUAGAGAAUUUUUGAUUU
This is a long non-coding RNA of Ananas comosus (pineapple), 521 nucleotides long. RefSeq lists it as uncharacterized. Lineage: Eukaryota; Viridiplantae; Streptophyta; Magnoliopsida; Poales; Bromeliaceae. The transcript has 2 exons. The record is from RefSeq and is a predicted model, not a curated record.